UACGUAUGGUGCAAGCGUUAUUCGGAUUUACUGGGUGUAAAGGGAGCGCAGGCGGAAGGCUAAGUCUGAUGUGAAAGCCCGGGGCUCAACCCCGGUACUGCAUUGGAAACUGGUCAUCUAGAGUGUCGGAGGGGUAAGUGGAAUUCCUAGUGUAGCGGUGAAAUGCGUAGAUAUUAGGAGGAACACCAGUGGCGAAGGCGGCUUACUGGACGAUAACUGACGCUGAGGCUCGAAAGCGUGGGGAGCAAACAGG
This 253-nucleotide ribosomal RNA is filed under the name Roseburia inulinivorans DSM 16841. RNAcentral's name for it is "partial 16S ribosomal RNA". It matches the Rfam family "Bacterial small subunit ribosomal RNA", at positions 524 to 776 of the family's 1533-position model. The record is from RNAcentral. Lineage: Bacteria; Bacillati; Bacillota; Clostridia; Lachnospirales; Lachnospiraceae.